Ictidomys tridecemlineatus (thirteen-lined ground squirrel) is the source of this 809-nucleotide non-coding RNA. Lineage: Eukaryota; Metazoa; Chordata; Mammalia; Rodentia; Sciuridae. The record is from RefSeq and is a predicted model, not a curated record.
UGUGUGUGUGUGUGAUGUUUGGCCAUGAGGGAGCCUAGAGACAGAGCCCCCACAAUCUCCCCUGCGAGAACCUAGGAGGCUGCAGGUGAGCCCCAGGACAGGUGACUAGAAGGUGAGGCCCUGGCAGAGGAGACUUAAGGGUGACUUCUGGGUUGCUGGGGGAGAAGGAAAUGCCAAGCCAAGAAUUCUCCUGGAGGAAGCAGAACGGAGGUAAGGAACAGAGUGGAAGAGAACCAAAGGGGUGCACAAAGGUGACCUGUGGUGGAUGUGCUAGACAAAAUGUUUAGAGAAUGAGACAAGAGUUGACAUCAAGGUGACAUCAAUCUCUAAGAUUGUCAUUCAUUUGGACUGGAGUGAGACUGGAUGUGAACAUUUUUUUUUUCAAGAUCCAAAUGAGCGUAAACAUGUGCAGCCAAGAUUGAGAACUAAAGUGGAAAAUCUAACCUAAUCCAGACAAGACCAAAAUCCAUCCCAACCAGUCCCUUUAGCACAGAUGAAAUGCUCAAAAAAUUUCAGACAAUCGUGUGCCUUUAAAGGAUCUAACAGCAAGAAUUAGGAGUGCCCUGGAGGCAAGGUAAAAUUUGGCCCAUGUAAUCAAUCAUAUCUGCUUCACUGAACUGUAAUGACCCUGAAUACAGAAGACAUCUUCAGUGGGACAGACUCACUGCCAUGAAGUCCUUAACAUUUUGUGGGUUAGAAAGCAGUUUUUACAUUUAGAUUCUGCCUUAUUUAGUCAUAGUCUACUCUUCUCCUCUUAGGCAUAGGUGAGUUUAUUGGUGUGUAGUUAUGAUAGUAGAUCAAAAUAUAAA